UACAGAGGUCUCAAGCGUUGUUCGGAUUCAUUGGGCGUAAAGGGUGCGUAGGCGGCGCGGUAAGUCGGGUGUGAAAUCUUGGAGCUUAACUCCGAAACUGCAUUCGAUACUGCCGUGCUUGAGGACUGGAGAGGAGACUGGAAUUCAUGGUGUAGCAGUGAAAUGCGUAGAGAUCAUGAGGAAGACCAGUGGCGAAGGCGGGUCGCUGGACAGUGACUGACACUCAACUACGAAAGCGUGGGGAGCAAACAGG
This 253-nucleotide ribosomal RNA is filed under the name uncultured bacterium. RNAcentral describes it as "partial 16S ribosomal RNA". It matches the Rfam family "Bacterial small subunit ribosomal RNA", at positions 524 to 776 of the family's 1533-position model. The record is from RNAcentral.